UAAAAUCAUAAAACUUUGCAGAAUUGUAAUAAAUGAUGAAUAUGAAUUACUUGUCUGUGAUAGUGUAUUAAUUUCUAGGGAAAAAAAAAAUGUUGACCAAGGUGGAAUUGAACCCGUGAUCUUUAGGCUGCCGACCGGCGUCAUUACCAACUGUGCCACUGGGAAACAGAGCAGCGGUUUGGAAAACGGGGAGAUGAACUGUCAGAUUUAGAUCGCGAUGAGAGGCGUAAAACGCCGAUUUUUGGAGUUACAAAACGUCAUGUAACUCCAAAACUAGGUGGGAUAGAAGCACAAUUCUUGUACUGGGUCAAUCAGCAGACUUUGCUGAACUUUCACUGCGAUUUUCAUUGCUCCUUUUACCUCCGUCACGGAG
This is a long non-coding RNA of Oreochromis aureus, 373 nucleotides long. Lineage: Eukaryota; Metazoa; Chordata; Actinopteri; Cichliformes; Cichlidae. The record is from Ensembl.